Molecule: long non-coding RNA, 577 nt
Organism: Dromaius novaehollandiae (emu)
Lineage: Eukaryota; Metazoa; Chordata; Aves; Casuariiformes; Dromaiidae
Exons: 2
Source: RefSeq, a predicted model, not a curated record
CUCAGCUUCUGAGCUGCAGGUCAGGAUCACAAAAGCUUGCAUGUUGUCCGGGUGGUUUGACCACGGAGUUUGGCAGAGGAGCUCUCCAGAGGUCGGGCCGUAGCGUGCUGGGGAGACAGCACCUGCUCACCCUCCUCCCCAGCAGCCACUGCGUUUCGGAGAUGCUGCCAGCGGAGCCAUGAGUUCCAGCAUCCCGCGGGGCACAACAGGCUGCAGCGAUGUCGCGCGGACCCCGGUAGCGCUGGUGCUGCUGGUGCUGGCGUGGAGGCUACCAGCGGGAGCGAGCCCGGCCUCUCCUUGCCUGUGCCAGGAGGGCUGUGGAGUUCAGCAGGCUGUUUGGCUCGUUGCACAAGCAGCGACCGCAGCAGCUGUCCCCUGCAUCACCUUCGCGUUUUGGGGACGCAAGGUGGAGAGCAGGAGGCUGGCGAGCCAGGCCUUCCUGGCACUGCGAAAAACCAGCCCCACGUGGUUUGGCUUUGGCUGGGAAGGAGGGAGGGAAAGCGCAAGGAUGCUCACAUCACCAGGCAAUUUGGUGAGCAGUGGUUUAACCCAUGAAUAAAGAAAUGCUGCAUUUGCA